Aspergillus puulaauensis is the source of this 91-nucleotide non-coding RNA. The record is from the annotation of a RefSeq genome assembly. Lineage: Eukaryota; Fungi; Ascomycota; Eurotiomycetes; Eurotiales; Aspergillaceae.
GCGCCGUUUGUAUAGUGGUUAUUAUGUCCGCUUCCCAAUUAGGAAAUAUUGAGAAUAGCGGGAGACCCGAGUUCGAACCUCGGACGGCGCA